Molecule: ribosomal RNA, 293 nt
Filed under: uncultured bacterium
Lineage: Bacteria
Description: partial 16S ribosomal RNA
Rfam family: Archaeal small subunit ribosomal RNA
Source: RNAcentral
GCGCCAGCAGCCGCGGUAAUACCGGCAGCCCGAGUGAUGGCCGAUCUUAUUGGGCCUAAAGCGUCCGUAGCUGGCUGUGCAAGUCCGUCGGGAAAUCCACUCGCUCAACGAGUGGGCGUCCGACGGAAACUGCACAGCUUGGGACCGGAAGGCUCGAAGGGUACGUUCGGGGUAGGAGUGAAAUCCCAUAAUCCUGGACGGACCGCCGAUGGCGAAAGCACGUCGCGAGGACGGAUCCGACAGUGAGGGACGAAAGCCAGGGUCUCGAACCGGAUUAGAUACCCUGGUAGUCC